Burkholderia gladioli BSR3 is the source of this 85-nucleotide non-coding RNA. Lineage: Bacteria; Pseudomonadati; Pseudomonadota; Betaproteobacteria; Burkholderiales; Burkholderiaceae. The record is from Rfam.
GUACGCGACUGUUGCUUUGCAGACGCGUCACCAUUCUCCUCUUGUCGUUGUUGCUCCGGGGCAAAAGUCGCCCCGGUUUUUUUUU